This 449-nucleotide ribosomal RNA is filed under the name uncultured bacterium. RNAcentral describes it as "partial 16S ribosomal RNA". It matches the Rfam family "Bacterial small subunit ribosomal RNA", at positions 28 to 523 of the family's 1533-position model. The record is from RNAcentral.
GACGAACGCUGGCGGCAGGCCUAACACAUGCAAGUCGAGCGAAGCCUUCGGGCUUAGCGGCGGACGGGUGAGUAACGCGUGGGAACGUGCCCUUUGGUACGGAAUAGCCCCGGGAAACUGGGAGUAAUACCGUAUGUGGUCGAGAGACGAAAGAUUUAUCGCCAAAGGAUCGGCCCGCGUUGGAUUAGGUAGUUGGUGGGGUAAUGGCCUACCAAGCCGACGAUCCAUAGCUGGUUUGAGAGGAUGAUCAGCCACACUGGGACUGAGACACGGCCCAGACUCCUACGGGAGGCAGCAGUGGGGAAUUUUAGACAAUGGGGGAAACCCUGAUCUAGCCAUGCCGCGUGAUCGAUGAAGGCCUUAGGGUUGUAAAGAUCUUUCAGUGGGGAAGAUAAUGACUGUACCCACAGAAGAAGCCCCGGCUAACUCCGUGCCAGCAGCCGCCGUAA